Molecule: long non-coding RNA, 625 nt
Filed under: Capsella rubella
Lineage: Eukaryota; Viridiplantae; Streptophyta; Magnoliopsida; Brassicales; Brassicaceae
Description: long non-coding RNA (CRUB_LNC000761)
Source: RNAcentral
UCUUGAUUGUCUAGUAAGUAAAGAGUAUUGUAUGAAGAGAGUUGGAGUAAUCUUGUACCGAAGAUAACGAUGGAGAAACCAAUCACGAACACACGUUUCAGAACGUUUCCAACAGCGUGAGUCAAUGGUGCAACCCUCUCCAAGGUAUUGGUAGCCAACUGCAACCGAGGGUUUUUAUAAAAUGUUUUAGUUUCUUUAGCAAAACGCAGGAUUAAAAGGUUAAAAGAUUGAAAUUUGAAAACAUUACCUGGUUGUAGAGAUGGUAAAACAUUCCAACCCAGAAGAGAUCAGUGAUGAAUUUAGUCAUUCCCACUUUAGCAAUUGCGUCAGCGAAACCGUGGUUCAGUAGUUUAGGACCUUCAACCUAAGAACAAAAUUUAACCAAAGACCCUAAUUAAUAAUACAAGAAAAACAUAUUACUUCUUAUAUAAGUAACCAGUGAGAGAUGAUAAAAGUGACUUACGAUGAUGGCAGGAGGAAUGCAAACGAAGAGAGCGAUGAUGGAGAUGUAAGCAUAGACAUUUGUACUGUCCAUAUCAGUCUGAAAGAAAAACACAAUCCGGUUUCAAUAAUCAAAACUUGAUGCGAGUUAAUAGCGUAGAGAAGAAGAGAUAUAAGAAUCAAG